Vicugna pacos (alpaca) is the source of this 605-nucleotide non-coding RNA. The record is from RefSeq and is a predicted model, not a curated record. NCBI's taxonomy places the organism in Eukaryota, Metazoa, Chordata, Mammalia, Artiodactyla, Camelidae.
GCCCCCCUGGCCGGUCGGGGGCCCUGGAGGGUGGCGGCUCCACCAGGGUCUGGCCUUCGGGCGGUCCGCCCCAGCCGCUGGCAUCCCGCUGACCAAAAGGGUGAGGAACACCCUGAAAGCUCAACGCACAAUGAUCACGCAAAGCACGUUCAACUGCACUGGCGAUGAAAUUCCAGUCUGGCUGCCAGCGUGCAGGUCACUAAAAGCUUGGCUCUGUCCUGCUCACCCGCAGGAGUUCCCCGGCACCCAGCUCGGCGCCUGGCCCGGGGAAUGCGGGCUGCACGGCUGGCUGCCCACCCGUGAGAGGCUCGUCCUUCCCUGCAAUUCCCUUCACCAAGGCUUCCCUGCGUCUGCCACCAGUGGAUCGAUCAUGUGACAUCAGAAACAGAAUCAGAAGUCUCCUGUGGAUCAAGCUUUAAAGUGUAAUGUAUAACAUUCAAAAUCAUUCUUUGACUCUAGAACGGAAUUAUAUCUUACUUGGUUGUAUUUAUCCAAAAGCAGCUGAAGAUUUGGGAAGCAACUGAGCUGUUUGCACCUAAUAUUGAUAAUAGAAGAAUGUUAUGUGUAGAGAAAUAAGGUCACAAUUAUGAGCUUCUGAGUUAAAA